CCUACGGGAGGCAGCAGUGAGGAAUAUUGCACAAUGGGCGAAAGCCUGAUGCAGCGACGCCGCGUGGGUGAAGAAGGUUUUCGGAUCGUAAAACCCUUUUCUGUGUGACGAGCAAGGACGGUAGCACAGGAAUAAGUCUCGGCUAACUACGUGCCAGCAGCCGCGGUAAAACGUAGGAGACAAACGUUAUCCGGAGUUACUGGGCGUAAAGGGCGUGUAGGUGGUUUUGUAAGUCUGGCGUGAAAUAUCUCGGCUUAACCGGGACAGGUCGUCGGAUACUGCAGAACUAGAGGACGGUAGAGGCGUGUGGAAUUCCGGGUGUAGUGGUGAAAUGCGUAGAGAUCCGGAGGAACACCAGUGGCGAAGGCGACACGCUGGGCCGUACCUGACACUGAGGCGCGAUAGCAUGGGGAGCAAACAGGAUUAGAAACCCUGGUAGUCCAUGCCGUAAACGAUGCUAGCUGGGUGUUCAGUGGGGGAAACCCCACGGGGUACCGAAGUCAACACGGUAAGCUAGCCGCCGUCGGGAGGUACGGUCGCGAGAAGUAAACUAACAAUAGAAGUAGUACGGCGUGAGACGUCGCCGACGGACGACGACGAGGGAGGUAGG
Molecule: ribosomal RNA, 610 nt
Filed under: uncultured bacterium
Lineage: Bacteria
Description: bacterial SSU rRNA
Rfam family: Bacterial small subunit ribosomal RNA (bases 1-522)
Source: RNAcentral